AGAGUUUGAUCAUGGCUCAGACGAACGCUGGCGGCGUGCUUAACACAUGCAAGUCGAACGGGAGGAAAAGAGAAGCUUGCUUCUUUUUGAAUCUAGUGGCAAACGGGUGAGUAACACGUAAACAACCUGCCUUCAGGAUGGGGACAACAGACGGAAACGACUGCUAAUACCGAAUGUGUUCCGGAGACCGCAUGAUUUCUGGAAGAAAGGAUGGCCUCUAUUUAUAAGCUAUCGCCUGAAGAGGGGUUUGCGUCUGAUUAGGCAGUUGGUGAGGUAACGGCCCACCAAACCUACGAUCAGUAGCCGGUCUGAGAGGAUGAACGGCCACACUGGAACUGAGACACGGUCCAGACUCCUACGGGAGGCAGCAGUGGGGAAUCUUCCGCAAUGGACGAAAGUCUGACGGAGCAACGCCGCGUGAGUGAUGACGGCCUUCGGGUUGUAAAGCUCUGUGAUCGGGGACGAAUGGCUGGUAUGCUAAUACCAUAUCAGAGUGACGGUACCCGAAUAGCAAGCCACGGCUAACUACGUGCCAGCAGCCGCGGUAAUACGUAGGUGGCAAGCGUUGUCCGGAAUUAUUGGGCGUAAAGCGCGCGCAGGCGGCUUCUUAAGUCCAUCUUAAAAGUGCGGGGCUUAACCCCGUGAUGGGAUGGAAACUGGGAGGCUGGAGUAUCGGAGAGGAAAGUGGAAUUCCUAGUGUAGCGGUGAAAUGCGUAGAGAUUAGGAAGAACACCGGUGGCGAAGGCGACUUUUCUGGGACGACAACUGACGCUGAGGCGCG
Molecule: ribosomal RNA, 781 nt
Filed under: uncultured bacterium
Lineage: Bacteria
Description: bacterial SSU rRNA
Rfam family: Bacterial small subunit ribosomal RNA
Source: RNAcentral